This 253-nucleotide ribosomal RNA is filed under the name uncultured bacterium. Its description in RNAcentral is "partial 16S ribosomal RNA". It matches the Rfam family "Bacterial small subunit ribosomal RNA", at positions 524 to 776 of the family's 1533-position model. The record is from RNAcentral.
UACAGAGGGGGCAAGCGUUGUUCGGAAUUACUGGGCGUAAAGGGCGCGUAGGCGGCCUGUUAAGUCGAACGUGAAAUCCCCGGGCUCAACCCGGGAACUGCAUCCGAUACUGGCAGGCUUGAAUUCGGGAGAGGGAUGCGGAAUUCCAGGUGUAGCGGUGAAAUGCGUAGAGAUGUGGAGGAACACCAGUGGCGAAGGCGACUCUUUGGCCUGUAACUGACGCUGAGGCGCGAAAGCGUGGGGAGCAAACAGG